Molecule: non-coding RNA, 222 nt
Organism: Cinara cedri
Lineage: Eukaryota; Metazoa; Arthropoda; Insecta; Hemiptera; Aphididae
Source: the annotation of a GenBank genome assembly
UAAAAUCGGUUAGUGAUAAGUUCCGACGUGGAAAAUAUCGUCACGCAGGGACUUCACUUUACAUGCUCUUACGCAGGCUCUUUGUCACUGCAUUUAUAAAAACACGAAUAUACGGACAUUGACAUUUAUAUUGUAUCAACUAUAUUAAUACAGUGUUGAGUUGAGAGUUAAUUUUCAAAAUUAAUCAUUUCAAACCCGUCCAGUUACAAUAAAAGUUAAUUA